This 477-nucleotide ribosomal RNA is filed under the name uncultured bacterium. RNAcentral's name for it is "partial 16S ribosomal RNA". It matches the Rfam family "Bacterial small subunit ribosomal RNA", at positions 30 to 507 of the family's 1533-position model. The record is from RNAcentral.
AUUGAACGCUGGCGGCAUGCCUUACACAUGCAAGUCGAACGGUAACAGGUUAAGCUGACGAGUGGCGAACGGGUGAGUAAUGUAUCGGAACGUGCCCAGUCGUGGGGGAUAACUGCUCGAAAGAGCAGCUAAUACCGCAUACGACCUGAGGGUGAAAGCGGGGGCUCGCAAGUCCUCGCGCGAUUGGAGCGGCCGAUAUCCGAUUAGGUAGUUGGUGAGGUAAAGGCUCACCAAGCCGACGAUCUGUAGCUGGUCUGAGAGGACGACCAGCCACACUGGGACUGAGACACGGCCCAGACUCCUACGGGAGGCAGCAGUGGGGAAUUUUGGACAAUGGGCGCAAGCCUGAUCCAGCCAUGCCGCGUGCGGGAAGAAGGCCUUCGGGUUGUAAAACGCUUUUGUCAGGGAAGAAAAGGUUCUGGCUAAUACCUGGGACUCAUGACGGUACCUGAAGAAUAAGCACCGGCUAACUACGUG